GCCACUCAUAACUCCGAAAAAAACUCGCUUCAAUAAAACCCAAAUCUUCAAUUCAACCAAAUUCUUCGAUUUCCCACUUUUGGGUGCCACAAUAUACUGUGACUGAAGAAGUCACUGUACCGCAGAUUUACUCGAAAUUAUUUGUAUUCAGUAGUCGCCGGAAAAAUGAGACGGAGGAACUCGGAUUUCCGGCGGCCAGUGAGGCGGCGAUUCUCCAAUGUUUUUUGGUUAACUUUGUGUGGAUUGGUCGUAUUGCUGCUCAUUAUUUUGCUCAGCAGAACAACUCGCGAUUCAUCGUCUAGAUUGGUUUAUACAAAGAGACCUUAUAGGCAUGACAGAAUUGCAGAUGGUCUCAACAUUACUGAAGAAAUGCUGAGGCCUGAAUCGAUGACAAGACAAAUUAAUGAUCAGAUUUCUCUUGCAAAAGCAAUUCUUGUAAUUGCAAAAGAAAGCAACAACCUUCAAUUUGCAUGGGAACUAAGUGCUCAAAUCCGUAACUCACAGAUGCUUCUUUCUAAUGCUGCUUCAAGAAGAAGCCCCUUGACAAACGGAGAAUCAGAAAGUGCAAUUCGAGAUAUGGCACUUCUACUCUACCAAGCCCAGCAACUUCACUAUGACAGUGCAACCAUGUUUAUGAGACUGAAAGCUAAAAUCCAAAGCCUUGAAGAACAGGCAAAUUCCUUCAGUGAGAAGAGUUCAAAAUAUGGACAAAUUGCUGCUGAAGAAGUCCCUAAAAGUCUCUAUUGCCUUGGUGUCCGGUUAACAGCUGAAUGGUUCAGAAGUUCCAAUUUGCAGAAACAAUUCAAGGAAGAAAAGCAAGCAGCUGCCAAACUUGUGGACACUGGUUUGUAUCAUUUCUGUGUAUUCUCAGACAACAUCCUUGCAACUUCGGUUGUGGUGAAUUCAACGGCUAUGAAUUCCAAGAAUCCUGAUAUGGUGGUCUUCCACCUCGUAACAGAUGAGGUGAACUAUGCUGCCAUGAAGGCAUGGUUCACCAUGAACAGUUUCCGAGGAGUGACUGUUGUUGUACAAAAGAUUGAAGAGUUUAGUUGGUUAAAUGCUUCGUAUGUACCUGUUCUAAAACAACUUCAAGACUCUGACACCCAGAACUACUACUUUUCUGGCAACCAUGAUAACAGCCGUACUCCGAUCAAAUUCAGAAACCCUAAAUAUCUAUCAAUGCUUAACCAUCUGAGAUUCUAUAUUCCAGAAGUUUUUCCUGCACUUAAGAAGGUUGUGUUUCUCGAUGAUGAUGUUGUAGUGCAGAAGGAUCUUUCAGCCCUAUUCACCACAGAUUUGAAUGGCAAUGUAAAUGGUGCAGUGGAGACUUGU
Molecule: unclassified non-coding RNA, 1332 nt
Filed under: Hevea brasiliensis (rubber tree)
Lineage: Eukaryota; Viridiplantae; Streptophyta; Magnoliopsida; Malpighiales; Euphorbiaceae
Source: RNAcentral